GUCGACACAAGGAAGAGCAGAUGCUGGUUUACAAAGAAGACAGAGUGCUGGAGUAACUCAGCGGGUAAGGCAGCAUCCCUGGAGAACAUGGAUCGAUUCGCAGCUCUAUAAUCAUCAUCAGUACACGAGAUCUUAAGAAGGGUCUCCUAUUCCUUCUCUCCAGAGAUGCUGCCUGUCCCGCUGAGUUCCUCCAGCUUUUUGUGUAUUUCAUCAGUUACACGAGAAUGGUUGUGAUUUAGUCUCGAAGAAUAAUUUGUGAAUUGCAAAUCUAUUUGCACUUAAUUAAUGGUCAGAUUGAAAUAA
Amblyraja radiata (thorny skate) is the source of this 303-nucleotide long non-coding RNA. RefSeq lists it as uncharacterized. NCBI's taxonomy places the organism in Eukaryota, Metazoa, Chordata, Chondrichthyes, Rajiformes, Rajidae. The record is from RefSeq and is a predicted model, not a curated record. The transcript has 2 exons.